AGGUUAAGUUAACAAGGGCGCAUGGUGAAUGCCUUGGCACUAGGAGCCGAUGAAGGACGGGACUAACACCGAUAUGCUUCGGGGAGCUGUACGUAAGCUAUGAUCCGGAGAUUUCCGAAUGGGGCAACCCAGCAGUUUUAAUCAACUGUUACCACUAGAUGAAUUCAUAGUCUAGUUGGAGGUAAACGCUGUGAACUGAAACAUCUCAUUAGCAGCAGGAAUAUAAAGAAAUUUCGAUUCCCUAAGUAGCGGCGAGCGAACGGGGAACAGCCCAAACCAAAGUGCUUGCACUUUGGGGUUGUAGGACUGAACAUUUGAGUUACCAAAGAACUUGAUAGUCGAAGGAUUUGGGAAAAUCCGCCAUAGAUGGUGAUAGCCCAGUAGAUUAAAUCAAAUUCUCUCAGUUCAGGAUCCUGAGUACGGCGGAACACGUGAAAUUCCGUCGGAAUCCGGGAGGACCAUCUCCCAAGGCUAAAUACUACCUAGUGACCGAUAGUGAACCAGUACCGUGAGGGAAAGGUGAAAAGCACCCCGGGAGGGGAGUGAAAUAGUUCCUGAAACCAUGUGCCUACAAUAAGUCAGAGCGCGUUAAUGCGUGAUGGCGUGCCUUUUGUAGAAUGAACCGGCGAGUUAUGAUCCCGUGCAAGGUUAAGACUAAAAAGUCGGAGCCGUAGCGAAAGCGAGUCUGAAAUGGGCGUUUUGAGUACGAGGUUAUAGACCCGAAACCAGGUGACCUAUCCAUGUCCAGGUUGAAGGUGCGGUAAAACGCACUGGAGGACCGAACCCGUGUAAGUUGAAAAUUGCUGGGAUGAGGUGUGGAUAGCGGUGAAAUUCCAAACGAACUUGGAGAUAGCUGGUUCUCUCCGAAAUAGCUUUAGGGCUAGCCUCGGAAUUAGGAUCGUGGAGGUAGAGCACUAUUUGGACUAGGGGCCCGUCUUGGGUUACUGAAUUCAGAUAAACUCCGAAUGCCAUUGAUUCAUAUCCGGGAGUCAGACGAUGAGUGAUAAGAUCCACCGUCGAAAGGGGAACAGCCCAGACCAUCAGUUAAGGUCCCUAAAUGUAUGCUAAGUGGAAAAGGAUGUGGAGUUGCAUAGACAACUAGGAUGUUGGCUCAGAAGCAGCCACCAUUUAAAGAGUGCGUAAUAGCUCACUAGUCGAGUGAUCCUGCGCCGAAAAUGUACCGGGGCUAAGCAUACUACCGAAACCAUGGAUGCGACCAUUAGGUCGCGUGAUAGGAGAGCGUUCUAAGGGCGGUGAAGCAAGAUCGUGAGGACUUGUGGAGCGCUUAGAAGUGAGAAUGCCGGUAUGAGUAGCGAAAGAUAGGUGAGAAUCCUAUCCACCGAAUGACUAAGGUUUCCUGGGGAAGGCUCGUCCUCCCAGGGUUAGUCGGGACCUAAGUCGAGGCCGAGAGGCGUAGACGAUGGAUAACAGGUUGAGAUUCCUGUACUAGUUAAGUGCGUUUGAGCAAUGGAGGGACGCAGGAGGCUAAGAUGUGCAUUCUGUUGGAUUAGAAUGUCCAAGCAGUAAGUCUUGUGAAGAGUCAAAUGCUUUUCACUUUAAGGACAAGCUGUGAUGGGGAGCGAAAUUUAGUAGCGAAGCGUCUGAUGUCACACUGCCGAGAAAAGCUUCUAGUGAGUACUUAACUACCCGUACCGCAAACCGACACAGGUAGUCGAGGAGAGAAUCCUAAGGUGAGCGAGUGAACUCUCGUUAAGGAACUCGGCAAAAUGACCCCGUAACUUCGGGAGAAGGGGUGCUGAUCGCAAGAUCAGCCGCAGUGAAUAGGCCCAGGCGACUGUUUAUCAAAAACACAGGUCUCUGCAAAAUCGUAAGAUGACGUAUAGGGGCUGACGCCUGCCCGGUGCUGGAAGGUUAAAAGGAUGGGUUAGCUUCGGCGAAGCUCAGAAUUGAAGCCCCAGUAAACGGCGGCCGUAACUAUAACGGUCCUAAGGUAGCGAAAUUCCUUGUCGGGUAAGUUCCGACCCGCACGAAAGGCGUAACGAUCUGGGCACUGUCUCAACGAGAGACUCGGUGAAAUUAUAUUGUCCGUGAAGAUGCGGACUACCCGCGACAGGACGGAAAGACCCCAUGGAGCUUUACUGUAGCUUGAUAUUGAGUGUUUGUACAGCUUGUACAGGAUAGGUAGGAGCCAUAGAAACCGGAACGCUAGUUUCGGUGGAGGCGUUGGUGGGAUACUACCCUCGCUGUAUGACCACUCUAACCCGCACCACUAAUCGUGGUGGGAGACAGUGUCAGGUGGGCAGUUUGACUGGGGCGGUCGCCUCCUAAAAAGUAACGGAGGCGCCCAAAGGUUCCCUCAGAAUGGUUGGAAAUCAUUCGCAGAGUGUAAAGGCACAAGGGAGCUUGACUGCGAGACAGACAGGUCGAGCAGGGACGAAAGUCGGGCUUAGUGAUCCGGUGGUACCGUAUGGAAGGGCCAUCGCUCAACGGAUAAAAGCUACCCUGGGGAUAACAGGCUUAUCUCCCCCAAGAGUCCACAUCGACGGGGAGGUUUGGCACCUCGAUGUCGGCUCAUCGCAUCCUGGGGCUGUAGUCGGUCCCAAGGGUUGGGCUGUUCGCCCAUUAAAGCGGUACGCGAGCUGGGUUCAGAACGUCGUGAGACAGUUCGGUCCCUAUCCGUCGCGGGCGUAGGAAAUUUGAGAGGACCUGUCCUUAGUACGAGAGGACCGGGAUGGACAUACCUCUGGUGUACCAGUUGUGCCGCCAGGCGCAUCGCUGGGUAGCUACGUAUGGAUGUGAUAAACGCUGAAAGCAUCUAAGUGUGAAACACACCUCGAGAUGAGAUUUCCCAUUCCUUUAUGGAAGUAAGACCCCUGAAAGAUGAUCAGGUAGAUAGGUUAGAAGUGGCAGUGCGGUGACGCAUGAAGCGGACUAAUACUAAUCGGUCGAGGACUUAACCAAG
Molecule: ribosomal RNA, 2923 nt
Filed under: Lactiplantibacillus plantarum
Lineage: Bacteria; Bacillati; Bacillota; Bacilli; Lactobacillales; Lactobacillaceae
Description: Lactobacillus plantarum 23S ribosomal RNA
Rfam family: Bacterial large subunit ribosomal RNA
Source: RNAcentral